RNAcentral lists this ribosomal RNA (253 nucleotides) under uncultured bacterium. Its description in RNAcentral is "partial 16S ribosomal RNA". It matches the Rfam family "Bacterial small subunit ribosomal RNA", at positions 524 to 776 of the family's 1533-position model. The record is from RNAcentral.
UACGGGGGGGGCAAGCGUUGUUCGGAAUUACUGGGCGUAAAGGGCUCGUAGGCGGCCAACUAAGUCAGACGUGAAAUCCCUCGGCUUAACCGGGGAACUGCGUCUGAUACUGGAUGGCUUGAGGUUGGGAGAGGGAUGCGGAAUUCCAGGUGUAGCGGUGAAAUGCGUAGAUAUCUGGAGGAACACCGGUGGCGAAGGCGGCAUCCUGGACCAAUACUGACGCUGAGGAGCGAAAGCGUGGGGAGCGAACAGG